GUUUAUGCAAACAUCAAAUGUAGCAUCCCACAUGGCAGCAGCAGAAAGGCACUGGGGUAGAAGAUGAGUGAUAAUGAGGUUAUCCCGGAAUGCAGUUGGUUGGCUGGCAUGCAAAGGUGGGCCUAAAAGCAGAAUGAACAUGAUGGCCGAGGGAGGCUUCACCUGUACCAGUGUUUGGAAUGUCCCGUUCUGUGUCGUCCUGGAAGUUUUUACACCAUAAUUCAGUUCACAGUGUGUGAGAGGUUGGUUUCCAACUCCUGGCCUCAAGUGAUCCUCCUGCCUCAGCCUCCAAAGCGGUAUGAUUGCAGACAUGAGCCACUGUGCCCAGCUGAGGUUAUUUUCUAUGUAAAUCUUGAUGUUCUGGAAUUGGCCCCAGAGAGAAGCAGCUUCUUGGGCAUGCACAUUAAGAGACAAAAAUGGCGAAGUAUGAUCUUCCUGGAUCACUCCACCGGAAAAAGGAAGAAAGCCUCAAAUGGGCAUGAAUACAAAUCCUAAAUGUACUGCAUGUGCUCAAUUAGCAAGGGUAAGGAGGCACCGCAUGCAGAAAACCCACCCUGAGGGAAGAAUCAUGGGAAAGAGGUGAGCCUAUAAAGUCCCAGGAUCAAGUUUAAAGGUGCUUCUUUUGUCUUUCUUUUCUUCCUGAAAAAAAACCUUCAGGGGCUCACUUGGAUCUCUUCCAAGGGUUCUUUACUUUCUUUGCUGUUCUGAAACUUUUUUAAUAAACUUCCACUCCUGCUCUGAAACUUGCCUUAGUCUCUUUUUCUGUUUUAUGUCCUUCAGUCAAGUUCUUUCUUCUGAGGAGGCAAGGGCUGAAGUUGCUACAGACCCAUACGAAUACGCCUCUGGUAACUCGGUGUAACUCAGGUCUCUGCCGCCGCUAACAAUACUACUUAUUGAAUACUAUAUCCUUUCCUAUUAUUAUGAAGUGCCAUCAUAAUGGUGUACUAAAUUUUCAUAUGUACGUGGCUCUGUGUAUGUAUUUCUACUUUGGCUAAUUCAUCUUUCUCUACCAACCUUAAUAUCACACUGUUCCAAUUCCUAUAACUUUAUAGUGUUUGUUUAAUACUAUGCUUUGAUAACUAGUAGAUCAAAUUUGACUAAACUAUUCUUUUCCCAAAAUAUUUUGGCUCUUGUACAUUUUCUUUUCUAGAUAAACUUUAUAAUUUUGACAGACACACAAAUACAUUCUCAAUGAGAUUUUUAUUGGAAUUACAUUGACUUUGUGAAUUAUUUAAGAGCAAUUAGAAUAUUGAGUUUUCUCACUCAAGAUGAUGGUAAUGUAUUCUAUUCUCAGUCCCUCUUAAAAAUGUCCUUCAGCAAAAUAUUAUUUCCUGUCUAUAUUUCUUGCUUGCUUUUAAAGAUUAUUUCUAGGCAUACUGUUUCUUGGUAUGCAAUUGUCAAUGAAUUUUUUUUUUUUUUUUUACUGUUUCUAACUGAGUAUUACUUUUAGAUAGGAAAGCAAUUAAUUUAUGUUUCAAUCUAGUGCAUCACUAAAGUAUAUUUAUUAGUCCUCAUAGGUUUUCGGUUACUUAUUUUGGAUAUUUUUAGAUAUACAAUUAUAUCACCUCCACAAAAAUACUAUUGUCUUCUCAUGAAUAAAUAUUAGGAUAUAGAGGUAUAGAAAAUAAUGUGGAAUAGAAGUAUUGUUAGCAGGCACCACUGUUCAGUUUAUAGUUUUAACAUAAAUGUUUAUAAUAUUUCACUUUUAAGUAAGAUGUUUGUCAUAUAUUUCUGUAUUAUAUCCUUUGUCAAUUUUAGUAAGUUGUUUCUAUUUGUAUCACACUAAAAAUUUUAAUCAGGAGUGACGGCUUAAAGUAAUACUAAGCAAAAAGAGCAAUUCUGAAGGCAACACAUUACCUGACUUCAAACUAUGCUACAAGGAUAUAGUUACCCAAACAGCAUAGCACUGGUAUAAAAAUAGUCGUAUUAGACCAAUGGAACAGUAUAGAGAAUCCAGAAAUAAAGCCAAAUCUUUAUAGUCAAUUGAUCUUUAGCAAAGCAUACAAAAACAUAAAGCGGGGAAAGGACACCCUACUCAACAAAUGGUGGUGGGAUAAUUG
Molecule: long non-coding RNA, 2060 nt
Organism: Papio anubis (olive baboon)
Lineage: Eukaryota; Metazoa; Chordata; Mammalia; Primates; Cercopithecidae
Source: Ensembl